RNAcentral lists this ribosomal RNA (1230 nucleotides) under Triticum aestivum (bread wheat). RNAcentral describes it as "partial small subunit ribosomal RNA". Lineage: Eukaryota; Viridiplantae; Streptophyta; Magnoliopsida; Poales; Poaceae. The record is from RNAcentral.
AUGAUGAUUGGUGAUGGAGGAAAACAGCAUACCGUCUCCGAUGGCCACGUCUUACCACGACUGGCAUCGGAGAAAGUAGUUGUUGCCUCCACUUCGCCCUCCGCUGUCAACAUCGAAGAAGAAUUUGAACCUGAUAUCAUGCAAAACAUCAAUCGGAGCUCCAACACCCCCAUCUCCGUGCACCGUGUCAUGUUUGGACCCGAAGGCUGGGCGGACCUACCACAUGGAUUAUUGCACUCCAUCAUUGUCCUGUUGGGUUCAACUCGUGACCUUCUUGCAUUCAUCGCCACCUGCCCUAGCUGGUAUGCUGCAUUCAUGUCAAUCAAAUCUACCUUGGGCGAGCUCUUCCCACCUGUUAUUUUCCGGAACUGUGCCGACCAGACAAGCUCAACUGGCUCUAACAUUGGAAACACAUGGGAGCUGAUUGAUCCUGUAUAUCCAAGUACUCCGUUGUGUCGCUUGACCCCUCCAAGUAUUUUGGACAAAAUGACAGUCGUCAAAUGUUCUUAUGGUCAUGCGAUUUUCUGCUACGACAGAUCCCUUGUCAUUAUGGACGUGCUCACUGGCACUACGGUUGCAGCUCCACCUUUCCCAUUGAGUCAACUAUGCUACAAAACCUUCAUAUCUCCAGGGGCGUCACCAGAUUCAUAUUUAUUUGUCAGCAGCCCGCACUGCCUGUACGCUUGGCGAGUUGGGAGCCCCUCUUGGUUGCACUGCGAUUUUCUAAAUGCACAUUUGAUCAAGGAGAUAGUAUCUUUCAAAGACCGGGUCAUUAUGAGGAUGCGUCAAAAACUAUACACCGUGCAUUUGGCACCUCAGUUUCAUGUUGAGGUACUAAGAGUUGAUUGCAGAGAUUAUAUAGACCCGUACGUGCUUUCCGGAAAUUUGGUGGCUUGUGGAGACACACUUCUCCUACUUGGUCGUAACGGGGAAGCCUUCUCCAUUGACUUCUCAACUGUACCUGCAAAGUAUGUGAGCGUGGAAGAGGGAGGCUUGGAGAAGUGGGCGUUCUUCUUUGGCGAGAAACGUACUGGACAGCCACGACUUUUAGUGAAUCCAGAGAGAAUGGGUUUAAGGGGUGGCCUUGUCUAUCGGUUGGAUGAAAACGCUCGAGUAUUUUCAUACCCAGUAGAUGGCAACCAAAAUGAGGAGUUGGAGCCAGAACCUUGUUUUGCGACGAUCAAUGCUUAUCUUGCCCGCAAUCAUACAUCCUUUGCAGCUUGGGUAUGA